GCCGAGCGAAGCGUCCUCCGGCCGCCUCCCCGCCGGGUCGGGCCCGUCUCCGGGCCCCAGGGGUCGCUGCGACGCCUCAGACGCUCUUUGUGUCCACGGCGGCCCGCGCUUUGGGCCCGCGCUUGACCCCGGGGCACCAGCUCUAUUUGUGCUCGCUCAAGAGACUGCACUAUCUCAGGAGCACUUUUAUCUUUAUAAACCCACUCGUGACAGAUUUGUAUUCUGAGAUGUUGUUGUUGUUGUUGUCGUCGUCGCCCUAAGCUCCGAAAGUUUUUGCUGAGAAAAAUGAUCUUUGGAGCCUGGAGAAGGUGUACUGAAGAUUCCAGCUGGCAGCUCAUGCCUUUAAACACCUCAUGCCCUUUGUGAGGUGAGUGGGGAAGACCAGGUGCAGGCCUGAUAUGUGCCUCAUUCCAUUUUCGGAAGGGCUGAGGUGAGGCGUCUCCUACAAGUCAAGAGGGCCAAGACCCUGGCCACGUCCCCCAGUGCUCAGGUGAGUGUUCUUCUCUGAGUGCUAGUAUCUGAUGGGUCCAACAUUUGUGAAACACGCUGGCCAAGAGGCUGGCUGGAAUAUUGUUUGGCAUUCUCAGGUUGACAGAACUGGUUUUAUGUAAUUUGAGAGGUGUGUGGCAUGUGAGCCAGGCUUUUAUCACUCGCCCCCUUUCCCUUCCUGGGAAUUGUUUGUGUGGCGGAGAUUUCCUGUCUGUAUUUUUAGUGUCUCAUUCUCCAUGGUUGCUCAAGUAUCCAUGGCCAUGUUUUACUGACUCACGCAGAUUCCCAGAUGCCCCUGAUAAAACUGAUGGCUACUCAGUGUGGAAAGCCCAGGAAUUGUCCCAUAGCUUGCCUCAUUGGGACAAUUAUUUGGGGAAAAAAAUCUGGUUUUUCAGAAAACAGGGUUUUGCAGAUAGCUUAGCUUUCAGAAUGACAAGUUUUGUUAAUUAGCUUUCUUAAUGCUGAAGCAGAAGAAGGAUAUAUUCUGGGGUAAAGCAAGAGGGAAUGGGUACAGCAAGUAUUCAUACUGCAUUUUUUCCACCGUCCCCUCUCCUUGCUGCUGCUUUCAGGCCAGCUGGAGUUCCCAAAGCCCCGCGUCUGUGGGCAAGGCUGCGUGGUGAAAGAGCUGAGUCACAGCUUUGCUUCUCUAUAAUUAUAAAUUUUAUCACCUCAUCUGACAUAGAGAGGGUGUUGGUUGGAAAUGAAAUACACAUUAGGAAUAAGCUCUUUAGAAAUAGAAAAAAAGAGAGAGAGAGAAAAAAAGCAAAAACAGUAAAAAACAAAACAAAACAAAACCCAGCUUUCACAAUGUGAAGGCUUUUUUCCACUAGCUAAGGUCAUGAAGAGACAGAGGAGUCAUUUCCCCUUCUUGCCCAUAAAGUCAUGAAACUUAAAACAUCAAAAUAAACAACACUGUAAAUUUCUUGUCCAACCCUCUUCUCAUUAUUUUGUUUCGUGUCCUCAGAGCCCAAGUUUGGAGAACAUACCUUGUCAGCUGCCCCCACCCUAUCUUUUCUCCCAUCUUCUUUGCUGUUCUCUCAAGACCUUAUUGGAAAUCACUUUAGGAAUGAAGUCUUGUCUCCCUAGGAGAUGUCGUUUUAUGGUAUGUCAUCGUGCUUCCGAAACUUAAAAAUUGUUCUUGAAGGGUGCCUGGGUGGCUCUGUAAGUUAAAUGUGUGCCUUUGGCUCAGGUCAUGAUCUUGGGGUCCUGGGAUCAAGUCCCACAUG
Molecule: long non-coding RNA, 1715 nt
Organism: Canis lupus familiaris (dog)
Lineage: Eukaryota; Metazoa; Chordata; Mammalia; Carnivora; Canidae
Exons: 3
Source: RefSeq, a predicted model, not a curated record